GCCGUUGCUAUGUUAAUCCUUUUUAGUACGAGAGGAACUGCAUGUUCAGACAGUUGGUAUAUGUGCCUGGUCAAAAGGCCAAUGAUGCGAAGCUACCAUCUGAGGGAUUAAGACUGAACUCCUCUAAGUCUGAGUCCCGUUUAUAUUUGCAACGGU
Molecule: non-coding RNA, 156 nt
Filed under: Trichobilharzia regenti
Lineage: Eukaryota; Metazoa; Platyhelminthes; Trematoda; Strigeidida; Schistosomatidae
Description: Eukaryotic large subunit ribosomal RNA
Rfam family: Eukaryotic large subunit ribosomal RNA
Source: Rfam by way of RNAcentral